UGUAAAAUGCCAGAGAAUUUUAUGGGGUUGAUUUAGGGUCAAUUUACAGCCGUUUGGCUUUUUAUUU
This 67-nucleotide transfer RNA is filed under the name Digramma interrupta. RNAcentral's name for it is "tRNA-Leu". The record is from RNAcentral. Lineage: Eukaryota; Metazoa; Platyhelminthes; Cestoda; Diphyllobothriidea; Diphyllobothriidae.